CCUACGGGAGGCAGCAGUGGGGAAUUUUGGACAAUGGGCGAAAGCCUGAUCCAGCAAUGCCGCGUGAGUGAAGAAGGCCUUCGGGUUGUAAAGCUCUUUUGUCAGGGAAGAAACGGUGAGAGCUAAUAUCUCUUGCUAAUGACGGUACCUGAAGAAUAAGCACCGGCUAACUACGUGCCAGCAGCCGCGGUAAUACGUAGGGUGCAAGCGUUAAUCGGAAUUACUGGGCGUAAAGCGUGCGCAGGCGGUUUUGUAAGUCUGAUGUGAAAUCCCCGGGCUCAACCUGGGAAUUGCAUUGGAGACUGCAAGGCUAGAAUCUGGCAGAGGGGGGUAGAAUUCCACGUGUAGCAGUGAAAUGCGUAGAUAUGUGGAGGAACACCGGAUGGCGAAGGCAGCCCCCUGGGUCAAGAUUGACGCUCAUGCACGAAAGCGUGGGGAGCAAACAGGAUUAGAUACCCUGGUAGUCCACGCCCUAAACGAUGUCUACUAGUUGUCGGGUCUUAAUUGACUUGGUAACGCAGCUAACGCGUGAAGUAGACCGCCUGGGGAGUACGGUCGCAAGNUUAAAACUCAAAGGAUUGACGGCUGAGAGNGCGAGCGACGACGAGGGAGAGG
This 615-nucleotide ribosomal RNA is filed under the name uncultured bacterium. Its description in RNAcentral is "bacterial SSU rRNA". It matches the Rfam family "Bacterial small subunit ribosomal RNA", at positions 338 to 946 of the family's 1533-position model. The record is from RNAcentral.